UACGAAGGGGGCUAGCGUUGCUCGGAAUCACUGGGCGUAAAGGGUGCGUAGGCGGGUCUUUUAAGUCAGGGGUGAAAUCCUGGAGCUCAACUCCAGAACUGCCCUUGAUACUGAGGAUCUUGAGUUCGGGAGAGGUGAGUGGAACUGCGAGUGUAGAGGUGAAAUUCGUAGAUAUUCGCAAGAACACCAGUGGCGAAGGCGGCUCACUGGCCCGAUACUGACGCUGAGGCACGAAAGCGUGGGGAGCAAACAGGG
RNAcentral lists this ribosomal RNA (255 nucleotides) under uncultured bacterium. RNAcentral's name for it is "partial 16S ribosomal RNA". It matches the Rfam family "Bacterial small subunit ribosomal RNA", at positions 524 to 777 of the family's 1533-position model. The record is from RNAcentral.